Brachypodium distachyon (stiff brome) is the source of this 4151-nucleotide RNA transcript. It is a transcript of the gene named probable RNA-binding protein 19, with no coding region annotated. The transcript has 3 exons. Lineage: Eukaryota; Viridiplantae; Streptophyta; Magnoliopsida; Poales; Poaceae. The record is from RefSeq and is a predicted model, not a curated record.
UGCAAAUUUUACACGGGCAACAAAAACAACAAAAAUCUGCCCUCAACCAGUCAUUUGUUUUCGCCCAAGACCCCAAUCCCACCACGAAUUCCAUUUCCCCUUUCCUCCAUGGACACAGACAAGGGCCUGCCCGUAAUUUGCCCGUUCCUUUCCCUUCCAAGGCUGCCACUCCUCUGUAAUAACGACAACCUCCCUUCCCCCUUUGCUCCACCCACGGCACCACCACCUCCUUCCUUCUCGGGAUUGUUGCGUGCUGCUGCUCGGCUUCACUCCAUCCACCCACUCCCCACCUUCUUCCUCCCCCUCCAUCCAUCCCCACAAUCGCAUUGCGGAAGAAACCCUCUUCGGACCAAAACCGCGGCCGCGGCUCCUUUGAUCACGACGAAGGGCUUCAUUUUCUGUUCUUGGAGUGCUGAUGCCAUAUCCUAUUAGUGCUAUGCUAAAUAAUCUUCUUCUGCAUGGACCAGUUGCUGGCACAAGGAUGGCAUGCAAAAGUGACCUGACUGGCCAGCUGCAGGAUGAUGGCAGUGGCCACAUGAAUGUUGUUGCUGCUGAAUAUGAGGAAGGCAGUGAAGAAGAAGAAGAAGAGCCAUAUGAACGUGAAUUCUAUGAUGAUGACGAUGGGGAUGACGAUGAGCCAGAAACAGAAGUUGUGGAUCCUUGUGAUGAUACUUUGCCAGAAGGGGAGAAGGCUAAUGGAGAGGAACCCUGCGAUGGCGCCACUCCACCUGAAGAAGAGGAUGCCAGUGAGGAGGAACCUUUUGAUUUAGAAUUCUGUGAUGAGGACGAAGACGGUGGUGAGCAGGACUCAUUCCAUGCAGAGCCUUUCACCGAUAAGGCGGACAGUGCUCGCCAUACUUACAGGAAGCGGCUCUAUGACGUGGAUCGAUGUGAUGAUCUGUUGGCCCGUGAGGAGUUAUGUGCUAAGAAGAGGUUCAGUGCCGGUGCUGUGCAGGCUGUCAAAAAGGAACAAAAUAAGCAAGAGGUCCUGAAACGGGCGCUGAGAAAGGGCUGCAGCAAUGAUCAUAAGGUACUACCAGCAACUGAUGAAAUGGAAAUGAAACCGUUCAAGAAACGAUUGUCUGUCAGGUUUGCUACCGAUGUAUCUUGUUACACAUACAACACUGAAAGUUUUGGUGCUGGCAAGUUGGAGAAAAGGAAAGCUCAGUUUGAUGAUCAGGACAAGCACCUGGGUAAGAGGCAAGAACAUACACUGCCUUUGUCUCAGGAGGGUGGCAAGCUGAAGGAAGUGGAUAACACUAAUCUGUAUGUGGGUAACCUACCAGCUUCUGUGGGUUCUCACAAGCUUAUCGAGCUAUUUCUACCUUUCGGGCGAAUAGUUAGAUCAAAAGUUGCGGAUGAAUGUUUCACUGGUUUAAGCAAGGGAUAUGGCUUUGUGAAGUAUGAUGAUCCUCACAGUGCCACAGCAGCUAUUAAUCGCAUGAAUGGGCGCCUGGUUGAUGGAAAAAUAUUAGAGGUUAGAGUUGCUGGUGUUCCACCAUCAGGAUCCAAUCCAUCUAUUCAAUCUGUGUCAGAAACUUAUAGUCAGCCCUCAGAGGAAAUUGACAUGUCUAGCUUAUAUGUCCGCAACUUGUCCUUAUCCAUGACCAAAGAAGAGCUACUCCAGCAUUUUCUCCCUUUUGGGAAAAUAAUUGAUGCAAAGGUGCCCAGAGAUUAUGCCACAGGUUUAAACAAAGGAUAUGGUUUUGUGAGGUAUUCUAAUUCUCAUGAGGCAGCUAAUGCCAUUAUCCAUUUGAAUGGACAUCUGGUUGAGGGUAAAAAGAUGGAGGUUCGAGUAUCUGGUGUAUCUCCAGCACUAUCAAAUUCUGCUGUGGAAUCACAUACUGAUGCAAGACUCAUCAAGGAAAUCGACAUGGCUAAUCUGUAUGUCUGCAACAUUCCUACAUCCAUUGACACCAAGAAGCUGAUUGAGAUUUUCUUGCCAUUUGGUAAGAUCACCCAUGCGAGAGUGGCAGCACACCAAGGCACUUAUUCAGGUAAAGGCAGAUAUGGCUUCGUCAAAUUUGCAGAUUCUCAGUGUGCGGCUGAGGCAAUUACGUUAAUGGAUGGGGCACUGGUUGAAGGGGAAACGUUAGUUGUCAGAGUCGCUGGCCUUUCAUCAUCAGCAUCCAGCCCAGCUGUACAUGGCUUGCCGAUUCCCUCACCAGAAAUCAACAAAUCCAGAAUCUACAUCACUAACCUCCCACGGUCCACGAAUGCUGAUAUGAUGGUUAAGCUUUUCGUGCCCUUUGGUCAGAUCAGCAAAGUCGUGAUGAAUCUGGAGUAUAGCCUAGUGUACUAUGCAGAUGUAGCCUCAGCAGUUAAGGCUAUCAAACACAUGGAUGGGUACAUGAUUGGUGGAAAGAGGCUAGUAGUCAGGAGAUCAGACUCUUGUCCAACCGACGCUGCAGGGCAUACUUCAACACAGUCACUUGGCAAGGAGGUGAAAGAAAUCGACAUGGCCAAUGUGUUUGUUGGCAGAAUCCCGUCGACCGUAAACGGUGAUCAGUUGGUCGAGCUUUUCCGCCCAUUUGGACAAAUUGUGCAAGUCAGGGUGUUUCAGCAUCAAGGUUAUGGCAUGUUUAGGUUCAACGAUCCUUUUUCUGCUGCAGCAGCAAUUGAUCAUAUGAAUGGUUACCAGAUUGGAGGAAGUGCCCUGGUUGUGAGAGUAGCAGGGCUUCCUAACCCUGGGGAUUUCAGUGCAGCAACAGAUGAUUUAAAGCUACAGAUGCCUGGCAAUGAGGGGAGACAAAUUGACAUGGCCAACCUAUAUGUGUGCCAUCUCCCACUCUAUAUUACCACUGAAAAGCUGAUUGAAAUCUUUCUACCAUGCGGCCAAAUCACUCAAGCAAGGGUAGUUACUGAUCGCUACACUGGUAUUAGCAAGGGAUUCGGAUUUGUCAGAUUUGCUGAUACUUACUCUGCUGCUGUGGCUCUCACUCACAUGAAUGGUUACCCACUGGAGGGGCACAUCUUGGAGGUUAGAAUAGCUGGUGUUCAUCCGAGUGAUAUGGGCAGCUACAUGACACAGCUCUACUCCCAGUUCACAUACCCUGACCCCUCGACGAUGGUGGUUGGAAUACCAACAUCGUAUUGGCCAUACUAUGGUGCCGAGUCAGUAUACUCUAUGUCAGCUGAGAACCAGGGUCAGGGCACUGCAUCUGCGACUGAUGCUGCUUCUCAAACAUCUCAGCAGGAAGGCUUGCCUGAAUCUGUAUCAGCCAGUUCAAUUGCUGAUAAAGACUGCCCUUCUAUGCCGAGCCAUGCCGCCGACAGUUCUCGGCCACAGUCUUCAGCAGGUUGGGCUGGUCCACCUGGCUUCGAGUCGCAUGCCGUCUGUUCUCAGCCACCGUCAGUAGGUUGGGCUGGUCCGCCCGGCUUCGAGCCCCAUGCCAUCCCCAAGAAAGAGCCAGGCACUGCUAUGAAUCCUUCCCAACCUUGCUCCAAGGUUCAUUUCGCACAGUCAGAAGGUGGCCAGAAAAGGCGUUCAAUUGUCUAGCGCCAUGACUACUUCAAGCCUACAUGCAAUAGAUUGACGUGUCAGUAAAUCUGGUAUUUCUUUUGGAGGAAAAAAAGAGCAUAUGCCAACAUCAUUUGCUUUAGUUGAGUAGUAAAUUAGUAGUAGGUUUGGGUAGUUAAUUAGGGCGAGCUGUCUGGUGAAUGGAGAAAAAUGUCGAUUCAAUUGUAUUGUUAACCCUGCAUACGGCAUGUUUGCACGGGUAUUCAUGACGCCAGCUGAUGAUCACUUCAGUCAUCAUCUAUGUCAUAUUUUUAGCACAAGUUGAUGGCACUUGAACUGAAGCUUCCAAAUGCUCAUGGAAUGGUUUCUUGUUGGUAUGCUACUGCAUCUGCAACUGAUGCCUCUGCUUCAAAUAAGGUGUCAUGCACAUGAAGAACUACUUGUGAUUUUGGUCUUCUCUGGCUAGUUUGUUUUCUCAAGUGAAACCAAACUACUGUGGUGGAUAAAACCCAGUUUUUCUUAGUAACAACCCGGUUAUCUGCCAAGGAGUAAAAAACCUGGUUAUCUGCAACGGUUCUUCUUCUUGAGUUUAUCGUGCUCACACGGGCCGAUAAAUAAAGAAUUUGAGCUCAUCAGCAAGGUCAGCUCCAUUCUUCUACAUAUGUUCCUUUCAUUCUUUCAAGAACGUACG